UUGACGCCGCGGCGCUGCGGCUUCUAGGUCGCGCCUGCACAGAGGAAGAAGAAGCCGGUGAAAGCCCGGCGCGGUCGCGCCACUGUAACCGACACUGCGAAGCGGGGUCGGGAGCCAGACCUUCUCCCUCGGGCGACAAACCUCU
RNAcentral lists this non-coding RNA (145 nucleotides) under Sphingomonas sp. Lineage: Bacteria; Pseudomonadati; Pseudomonadota; Alphaproteobacteria; Sphingomonadales; Sphingomonadaceae. The record is from RNAcentral.